UACGGAGGGGGCUAGCGUUGUUCGGAAUUACUGGGCGUAAAGCGCACGUAGGCGGCUUUGUAAGUUAGAGGUGAAAGCCCGGAGCUCAACUCCGGAAUUGCCUUUAAGACUGCAUCGCUCGAAUCAUGGAGAGGUGAGUGGAAUUCCGAGUGUAGAGGUGAAAUUCGUAGAUAUUCGGAAGAACACCAGCGGCGAAGGCGACUCACUGGACAUGUAUUGACGCUGAGGUACGAAAGCGUGGGGAGCAAACAGG
RNAcentral lists this ribosomal RNA (253 nucleotides) under uncultured bacterium. RNAcentral's name for it is "partial 16S ribosomal RNA". It matches the Rfam family "Bacterial small subunit ribosomal RNA", at positions 524 to 776 of the family's 1533-position model. The record is from RNAcentral.